RNAcentral lists this ribosomal RNA (1468 nucleotides) under uncultured fungus. RNAcentral's name for it is "eukaryotic LSU rRNA". The stretch from base 835 to 1468 matches the Rfam family "Eukaryotic large subunit ribosomal RNA", at positions 1 to 649 of the family's 3401-position model. The record is from RNAcentral. Lineage: Eukaryota; Fungi.
GUCGUAACAAGGUUUCGUAUAGUGACAGAUCCUUCUGUAGCACACUCCGGAGACCAUGCAACCCUCAGGGGAGGCUGCGCGACCCUAAACAAAGCUGACCAUUUGCAAGUUGGGACACCAGCAACACGAUCGAAAUGUCGGGGACCUCCUAAAGCUCUCGCUACCCUACAGGUACUGAAAGGUACCUGCGACCGGUAAAAGUGCGAGAGAUGUUACAAUGGACGAUCCGCAGCGAAGACUCUAAGGGCUGAGCCUAUGGGUAACGUUCACAGACUAGGUGAUUGUGGGCAGUGCUACUGCUUAAGAUAUAGUCGGGCCUGUAGCGAAAGUUAUAGGGCUUAGCGUCCGUAGGUGAACCUGCGGAAGGAUCAUUACAGAGUUCAUGCCCUAACGGGUAGAUCUCCCACCCUUGAAUACAUACCUUUGUUGCUUUGGCGGGCCGCUUCGGCUGCUGGCUUCGGCUAGUGAGUGCCUGUCAGAGGACCCAAAACUUCGAGUUAUAGUGUCGUCUGAGUAUUAUAUAAUAGUUAAAACUUUCAACAACGGAUCUCUUGGUUCUGGCAUCGAUGAAGAACGCAGCGAAAUGCGAUAAGUAAUGUGAAUUGCAGAAUUCAGUGAAUCAUCGAAUCUUUGAACGCACAUUGCGCCCCUUGGUAUUCCGAGGGGCAUGCCUGUUCGAGCGUCAUAUAAACCCCUCAAGCUCAGCUUGGUGUUGGGGCCUGCCUCCAGGCAGCCCUUAAAAUCAGUGGCGGUGCACCGGGCUCUAAGCGUAGUAAUACUCAUCGCUAUAGGGUGCCGGUGGAUGCUCGCCAGCAAUCUCCAAUUUUCUAUGGUUGACCUCGGAUCAGGUAGGGAUACCCGCUGAACUUAAGCAUAUCAAUAAGCGGAGGAAAAGAAACCAACAGGGAUUGCCUCAGUAACGGCGAGUGAAGCGGCAACAGCUCAAAUUUGAAAUCUGGCUCUUUCAGGGUCCGAGUUGUAAUUUGUAGAAGAUGCUUCGGGUGUGGCUCCGGUCUAGGUUCCUUGGAACAGGACGUCAUAGAGGGUGAGAAUCCCGUAUGUGACUGGUAGCCUUCGCUCAUGUGAAGCUCUUUCGACGAGUCGAGUUGUUUGGGAAUGCAGCUCAAGAUGGGUGGUAAAUUUCAUCUAAAGCUAAAUAUUGGCCAGAGACCGAUAGCGCACAAGUAGAGUGAUCGAAAGAUGAAAAGCACUUUGGAAAGAGAGUUAAACAGUACGUGAAAUUGUUGAAAGGGAAGCGCUUGCAACCAGACUUGCAUGUAGUUGAUCAUCCGGUGUUCUCACCGGUGCACUCUGCUAUAUUCAGGCCAGCAUCGGUUUUGGUGGUUGGAUAAAGACCUUGGGAAUGUAGCUUCUUUCGGGGAGUGUUAUAGCCCUCGGUGCAAUGCAGCCUACCGGGACCGAGGACCGCGCUUCGGCUAGGAUGCUGGCGUAAUGGUUGUAAGCGACC